RNAcentral lists this ribosomal RNA (972 nucleotides) under Bacillus subtilis. Its description in RNAcentral is "bacterial SSU rRNA". It matches the Rfam family "Bacterial small subunit ribosomal RNA", at positions 341 to 1313 of the family's 1533-position model. The record is from RNAcentral. Lineage: Bacteria; Bacillati; Bacillota; Bacilli; Caryophanales; Bacillaceae.
ACGGGAGGCAGCAGUAGGGAAUCUUCCGCAAUGGACGAAAGUCUGACGGAGCAACGCCGCGUGAGUGAUGAAGGUUUUCGGAUCGUAAAGCUCUGUUGUUAGGGAAGAACAAGUACCGUUCGAAUAGGGCGGUACCUUGACGGUACCUAACCAGAAAGCCACGGCUAACUACGUGCCAGCAGCCGCGGUAAUACGUAGGUGGCAAGCGUUGUCCGGAAUUAUUGGGCGUAAAGGGCUCGCAGGCGGUUUCUUAAGUCUGAUGUGAAAGCCCCCGGCUCAACCGGGGAGGGUCAUUGGAAACUGGGGAACUUGAGUGCAGAAGAGGAGAGUGGAAUUCCACGUGUAGCGGUGAAAUGCGUAGAGAUGUGGAGGAACACCGUGCGAGGCGACUCUCUGGUCUGUACUGACGCUGAGGAGCGAAAGCGUGGGGAGCGAAAGGAUAGAUACCCUGGUAGUCCACGCCGUAAACGAUGAGUGCUAAGUGUUAGGGGGUUUCCGCCCCUUAGUGCUGCAGCUAACGCAUUAAGCACUCCGCCUGGAGUACGGUCGCAAGACUGAAACUCAAAGGAAUUGACGGGGGCCCGCACAAGCGGUGGAGCAUGUGGUUUAAUUCGAAGCAACGCGAAGAACCUUACCAGGUCUUGACAUCCUCUGACAAUCCUAGAGAUAGGACGUCCCCUUCGGGGGCAGAGUGACAGGUGGUGCAUGGUUGUCGUCAGCUCGUGUCGUGAGAUGUUGGGUUAAGUCCCGCAACGAGCGCAACCCUUGAUCUUAGUUGCCAGCAUUCAGUUGGGCACUCUAAGGUGACUGCCGGUGACAAACCGGAGGAAGGUGGGGAUGACGUCAAAUCAUCAUGCCCCUUAUGACCUGGGCUACACACGUGCUACAAUGGACAGAACAAAGGGCAGCGAAACCGCGAGGUUAAGCCAAUCCCACAAAUCUGUUCUCAGUUCGGAUCGCAGUCUGCAACUC